CUCUAGGAAAUCGCAUAGAUCACCUGCAUGAGGAUUAUGUGAACCGGAAACUUCACAUGGAGCAAAAGAUAAAAGAACUGGAAGAUGCUGAUGUCAGAAACUGGUCUAAACAACAACUAUCUCUAGCAGCUGAGCGAGAACAAAUUCUGAAACAGAGUAAAAUGCAAACCGAAUUGAACUGGCAGCAGCUCUGUGAAAAUGCUGAAUGUAAUUGGUGUCAGAGAUCAGAGGAUCUAACACACAGCCUGUCUUCAUCAAAAGAGGCGGUAUUUCAGUAUAAUGAUGAAAGUUCUCUGUGUAAAUAUAUCCCUGCUUUGGAAAUAAAAAAGCUGCAGGAACAGAAUGCCAGCCUUCGGGCUGCUAUUGCACAAAUGAGGAAAGAAAUGGAGAGUCUGGAUGAGCAGAUAUUGUCUUCUCUUCCUCUAACAGAAGACAGACAGUUUGCAGAGCAAGGUUCAUUGAGCACAAACAAAAUUUCAGCUGGAACCACACUGAGCAACACCAAAAUCAGUUCAGCUAAGCUGGAUUGUAUAGUAAACUCAGACACAGAAGAGGGGCCAGAACCCAAAGUUCUUGAAGAAAACAUGGCAGAUUUUGGACAAACACUACCUGCUGUAGGUACUGGUGUUGGUUGUCAGUAUAGUGUCAAACGCACUCUACAAGGAAUGCAAAGUAAACUCAAGGAAGCAGCAAGAAAAAUCUCAAUUCUGAGCCAAGAAAAGCGGCAAUUGAUUGAAAUGGGAAACAGACUCAGGGCAGAACUUGGAAUGGUGCUAAAGGAAGGACUCUGGCAUCCUGUUAGCUCUAACCACUGCACAGUUUGUAUUGCUUCUGGUAGUCUUCUUCCAAGAGAACUUGUCAAAAGAACAGAGUGUCAGCUAUCAGUUCUAAAGUAUCUACAGCACAGACUCUCAACACAGAUUAAAAGAAGAAGCUCCAAGCAGCUGUGGGGAAGAAACAAAAUUACCAUCUGCUGA
RNAcentral lists this long non-coding RNA (977 nucleotides) under Parus major (Great Tit). RNAcentral's name for it is "lncRNA (ENSPMJG00000015168.1)". Lineage: Eukaryota; Metazoa; Chordata; Aves; Passeriformes; Paridae. The record is from RNAcentral.